This 107-nucleotide transfer RNA is filed under the name Candidatus Woesearchaeota archaeon. RNAcentral's name for it is "tRNA-Phe". It matches the Rfam family "tRNA". Rfam says of the family: Transfer RNA (tRNA) molecules are approximately 80 nucleotides in length. The record is from RNAcentral. Lineage: Archaea; Nanobdellati; Candidatus Woesearchaeota.
GGGCCUGUAGUUCAAUCUGGGUCAUGAGUUAGAAUCAUCUACUCGGUGCAGAAAAGAACACACGACUGAAGAUCGUGAUGUUAUGGGUUCAAAUCCCAUCAGGCCCA